GACGAACGCUGGCGGCGUGCUUAACACAUGCAAGUCGAACGGAAAGGCCUCUUUCGGGGGGUACUCGAGUGGCGAACGGGUGGGUAACACGUGAGUAACCUGCCCUUGACUUUGGGAUAACUUCAGGAAACUGGGGCUAAUACCGGAUAGGAGCUCCUGCUGCAUGGUGGGGGUUGGAAAGUUUCGGCGGUUGGGGAUGGACUUGCGGCUUAUCAGCUUGUUGGUGGGGUAGUGGCUGACCAAGGCUUUGACGGGUAGCCGGCCUGAGAGGGUGACCGGCCACAUUGGGACUGGGAAAGGGCCCGGACUCCUACGGGAGGAAGCAGUGGGAAAUUUUCCACAAUGGGUGGAGCCUGAUGCAGCAACGCCGUGUGCGGGAUGACGGCCUUCGGGUUGUAAACCGCUUUCGCUCAUGACGAAGCUUUGUGUGACGGUAGUGGGUAAAGAAGCACCGGCUAACUACGUG
Molecule: ribosomal RNA, 466 nt
Filed under: uncultured bacterium
Lineage: Bacteria
Description: partial 16S ribosomal RNA
Rfam family: Bacterial small subunit ribosomal RNA
Source: RNAcentral